This 515-nucleotide ribosomal RNA is filed under the name uncultured bacterium. RNAcentral describes it as "partial 16S ribosomal RNA". It matches the Rfam family "Bacterial small subunit ribosomal RNA", at positions 28 to 523 of the family's 1533-position model. The record is from RNAcentral.
GAUGAACGCUGGCGGCGUGCCUAAUACAUGCAAGUCGAGCGAAUGGAUUGAGAGCUUGCUCUUAUGAAGUUAGCGGCGGACGGGUGAGUAACACGUGGGUAACCUGCCCAUAAGACUGGGAUAACUCCGGGAAACCGGGGCUAAUACCGGAUAACAUUUUGAACCGCAUGGUUCGAACUUGAAAGGCGGCUUCGGCUGUCACCUAUGGAUGGACCCGUGUCGGAUUAGCUCGUUGGGGAGGUAACGGCUCACCAAGGCAACGAUGCGUAGCCGACCUGAGAGGGUGAUCGGCCACACUGGGACUGAGACACGGCCCAGACUCCUACGGGAGGCAGCAGUAGGGAAUCUUCCGCAAUGGACGAAAGUCUGACGGAGCAACGCCGCGUGAGUGAUGAAGGCUUUCGGGUCGUAAAACUCUGUUGUUAGGGAAGAACAAGUGCUAGUUGAAUAAGCUGGCACCUUGACGGUACCUAACCAGAAAGCCACGGCUAACUACGUGCCAGCCGCCGCGGUAA